Molecule: ribosomal RNA, 495 nt
Filed under: uncultured bacterium
Lineage: Bacteria
Description: partial 16S ribosomal RNA
Rfam family: Bacterial small subunit ribosomal RNA
Source: RNAcentral
GAUGAACGCUGGCGGCGUGCCUAAUACAUGCAAGUCGAGCGAACGGAUGAGAAGCUUGCUUUUCUGAUGUUAGCGGCGGACGGGUGAGUAACACGUGGAUAACCUACCUAUAAGACUGGGAUAACUUCGGGAAACCGGAGCUAAUACCGGAUAAUAUUUUGAACCGCAUGGUUCAAAAGUGAAAGACGGUCUUGCUGUCACUUAUAGAUGGAUCCGCGCUGCAUUAGCUAGUUGGUAAGUUAACGGCUUACCAAGGCAACGAUGCAUAGCCGACCUGAGAGGGUGAUCGGCCACACUGGUACUGAGACACGGUCCAGACUCUACGGGAGGCAGCAGUAGGGAAUCUUCCGCAAUGGGCGAGAGCCUGACGGAGCAACGCCGCGUGAGUGAUGAAGGUCUUCGGCUCGUAAAACUCUGUUAUUAGGGAAGAACAUAUGUGUAAGUAACUGUGCACAUCUUGACGGUACCUAAUCAGAAAGCCACGGCUAACUCCGU